RNAcentral lists this ribosomal RNA (941 nucleotides) under Alternaria alternata. RNAcentral's name for it is "eukaryotic LSU rRNA". It matches the Rfam family "Eukaryotic large subunit ribosomal RNA", at positions 21 to 980 of the family's 3401-position model. Lineage: Eukaryota; Fungi; Ascomycota; Dothideomycetes; Pleosporales; Pleosporaceae. The record is from RNAcentral.
AUACCCGCUGAACUUAAGCAUAUCAAUAAGCGGAGGAAAAGAAACCAACAGGGAUUGCCCUAGUAACGGCGAGUGAAGCGGCAACAGCUCAAAUUUGAAAUCUGGCUCUUUUAGAGUCCGAGUUGUAAUUUGCAGAGGGCGCUUUGGCUUUGGCAGCGGUCCAAGUUCCUUGGAACAGGACGUCACAGAGGGUGAGAAUCCCGUACGUGGUCGCUGGCUAUUGCCGUGUAAAGCCCCUUCGACGAGUCGAGUUGUUUGGGAAUGCAGCUCUAAAUGGGAGGUACAUUUCUUCUAAAGCUAAAUAUUGGCCAGAGACCGAUAGCGCACAAGUAGAGUGAUCGAAAGAUGAAAAGCACUUUGGAAAGAGAGUCAAACAGCACGUGAAAUUGUUGAAAGGGAAGCGCUUGCAGCCAGACUUGCUUACAGUUGCUCAUCCGGGUUUCUACCCGGUGCACUCUUCUGUAGGCAGGCCAGCAUCAGUUUGGGCGGUAGGAUAAAGGUCUCUGUCACGUACCUCCUUUCGGGGAGGCCUUAUAGGGGAGACGACAUACUACCAGCCUGGACUGAGGUCCGCGCAUCUGCUAGGAUGCUGGCGUAAUGGCUGUAAGCGGCCCGUCUUGAAACACGGACCAAGGAGUCUAACAUCUAUGCGAGUGUUUGGGUGUCAAGCCCGAGCGCGUAAUGAAAGUGAACGGAGGUGGGAACCCGCAAGGGUGCACCAUCGACCGAUCCUGAUGUCUUCGGAAGGAUUUGAGUAAGAGCAUGGCUGUUGGGACCCGAAAGAUGGUGAACUAUGCUUGAAUAGGGUGAAGCCAGAGGAAACUCUGGUGGAGGCUCGCAGCGGUUCUGACGUGCAAAUCGAUCGUCAAAUUUGGGCAUAGGGGCGAAAGACUAAUCGAACUAUCUAGUAGCUGGUUCCUGCCGAAGUUCCCCCUCAGGAA